Molecule: ribosomal RNA, 253 nt
Filed under: uncultured bacterium
Lineage: Bacteria
Description: partial 16S ribosomal RNA
Rfam family: Bacterial small subunit ribosomal RNA
Source: RNAcentral
UACGUAGGGGGCAAGCGUUGUCCGGAAUCAUUGGGCGUAAAGCGCGCGUAGGCGGCCAGAUAAGUCCGGUGUGAAAGUCACAGGCUCAACCUGUGAAUGCCGCUGGAAACUGUCUGGCUUGAGUCCGGAAGGGGCGAGUGGAAUUCCUGGUGUAGCGGUGAAAUGCGCAGAUAUCAGGAGGAACACCAAUGGCGAAGGCAGCUCGCUGGAGCGGUACUGACGCUGAGGCGCGAAAGCGUGGGGAGCGAACAGG